This is a non-coding RNA of Schistosoma rodhaini, 45 nucleotides long. Lineage: Eukaryota; Metazoa; Platyhelminthes; Trematoda; Strigeidida; Schistosomatidae. The record is from Rfam.
AUCCGGCUGAAGAGUCCCAAACAGGACGAAACGCGCGUCCUGGAU